RNAcentral lists this ribosomal RNA (1266 nucleotides) under uncultured bacterium. Its description in RNAcentral is "bacterial SSU rRNA". It matches the Rfam family "Bacterial small subunit ribosomal RNA", at positions 94 to 1385 of the family's 1533-position model. The record is from RNAcentral.
AGUGGCAAACGGGUGAGUAAUAUAUAGGAAUCUACCUAGCAGUAAGGGAUAACUUUGGGAAACCAAAGCUAAUACCAUAUACACCCCGCCUUAAAACGGGGGAAAGAUUUAUCGCUGUUAGAUGAGCCUGUAUCGGAUUAGCUAGUUGGUAGGGUAAUGGCCUACCAAGGCGAUGAUCCGUAGCUGAUCUGAGAGGAUGAUCAGCCACAUUGGGACUGCGACACGGCCCAAACUCCUACGGGAGGCAGCAGUGGGGAAUAUUGGACAAUGGACGCAAGUCUGAUCCAGCAAUACCACGUGAGUGAUGAAGGCCUUCGGGUUGUAAAACUCUUUUAGUAGGGAAGAUAAUGACGGUACCUACAGAAAAAGCACCGGCUAACUUCGUGCCAGCAGCCGCGGUAAUACGAAGGGUGCUAGCGUUGUUCGGAAUCAUUGGGCGUAAAGCGUGCGUAGGCGGCCAGGUAAGUCGGCUGUGAAAUCCCAGAGCUUAACUUUGGAAUUGCAGUCGAAACUGCCAGGCUUGAUUAUGGUGGAGGAUAGUGGAAUUCCUAGUGUAGGAGUGAAAUCCGUAGAUAUUAGGAAGAACACCAGUGGCGAAAGCGACUAUCUACGCCAUCAAUGACGCUGAGGUACGAAAGCGUGGGGAGCAAACAGGAUUAGAUACCCUGGUAGUCCACGCAGUAAACGAUGAGUGCUAGUUGUUGGGAUCUUAGAUCUCGGUGGCGAAGCUAACGCGUUAAGCACUCCGCCUGGGGAGUACGGCCGCAAGGCUAAAACUCAAAGGAAUUGACGGGGACCCGCACAAGCAGUGGAGCAUGUGGUUCAAUUCGAUGCUACACGAAAAACCUUACCAGCCCUUGUAUCCUCAUUUUGAUUUUCAGAGAUGAAUUUCUUCACUUCGGGUGGGUGAGAGACAGGUGUUGCAUGGCUGUCGUCAGCUCGUGUCGUGAGAUGUUAGGUUAAGUCCUUCAACGAGCGCAACCCUCAUCCUUAUUUGCCAUCGGGUUAUGCCGGGAACUAUAAGGAAACUGCCAACGACAAGUUGGAGGAAGGUGGGGAUGAUGUCAAGUCAUCAUGGCCCUUAUGGGCUGGGCUACACACAUACUACAAUGGUGGUUACAACGGGACGCCAAGCAGCAAUGCGGAGCAAAUCCUAUUAAAAGCCAUCUCAGUUCGGAUUGGGGGCUGCAACUCGCCCCCAUGAAGUCGGAAUUGCUAGUAAUCGCGGAUCAGCAUGCCGCGGUGAAUACGUUCUCGGGUCUUGCA